Molecule: transfer RNA, 81 nt
Filed under: Delonix velutina
Lineage: Eukaryota; Viridiplantae; Streptophyta; Magnoliopsida; Fabales; Fabaceae
Description: tRNA-Tyr
Source: RNAcentral
UGGGCCGAGCUGGAUUUGAACCAGCGUAGACAUAUUGGCAACGAAUUUACAGUCCGGCCCCAUUAACCGCUCGGGCAUCGA